RNAcentral lists this ribosomal RNA (426 nucleotides) under Triticum aestivum (bread wheat). RNAcentral describes it as "partial small subunit ribosomal RNA". The record is from RNAcentral. Lineage: Eukaryota; Viridiplantae; Streptophyta; Magnoliopsida; Poales; Poaceae.
AUGUGUACAGCCAUACAUCCUUCGCUCGCGGUAUACUCUUCGUCGCAUGGACCAACGGCGUCGCACGACCAGGCUUGUGCCGGCCGUUGCGCGCUGGGAGCUGGCCACCGGACGCGUGGACGGCCUCAGGGACGCCUCCACCGUACGCAGUACGUGCCACGCGUUCACGGUCACCACGUGCAUGCGUACCGCGUAAACAGUACACGGACGGACGAUCAGUACACGCGCGCGCUCUCCGGACCGCCCAACCCGGCGACUCGCCCACGCCAAGCAAAGCAAACACCGGGCCGGCAGCCAACCGUUCCGACGCGAUCACCGCGCCCACCGCGCGCCCAUCGGCCGGAUCGCGUCGCGCCCUCCUGCGUUCCUGUGGCCGCGGCGCGUCACCCAGAAGCCGACGCGGGCGGCGUUGACAACAUGUGGUGA